Molecule: long non-coding RNA, 2090 nt
Organism: Hemibagrus wyckioides
Lineage: Eukaryota; Metazoa; Chordata; Actinopteri; Siluriformes; Bagridae
Exons: 5
Source: RefSeq, a predicted model, not a curated record
AUUUCACAUUUAGAGCGGGAACAAUUCUGACGUUUUUAUUUAUUACGUCACAAAAUCUGCCAUUUUGUCAGGGAUGUGUAGACUUUUUUAUAUCCAUUGUACAACUCCUCUGUACUCAGUAGUGUGUCUGUACCACAGUUUCUUUACGUGGCACACUGUUUCCACAUACUGUUUAGUAGGCUAGUAUGCAGUGUUGCAUUCUACCUGGGUUUUUGCAGAUAAAUCACACGAGUGCACUUUUAUUCGUGGCUUUGGGCUCAUCCUAAAAGCUUUCAUUUGUGACAGGAAUGAAAAGCAGUGGCUAUUUCGCGAUUUUCUACCUCACUGUCUUUCAUAUCUGGGUCCUGACCCGUCGAGGCAUGGACUCCACUAGAUCCCUGAAGGUGUGCUGUGGUAUCUGGUAGCAAGAUGUUAGCAGCAGAUCCUUUAAGUCAUGUAAGUUGCGAGGUGGGGACUCCAUGGAUCGGACUUGUUCGUCCAGCACAUCCCACAGAUGCUCGAUUGGAUUGAUAUCUAGAUUAAUGGUCUGCAACAAUGCUUAGGUAGGUGGUACGUGUCAAAGUAACAUCCACAUGGAUGGCAGGACCCAAGGAUUCCCAGCAGAACAUUACCAAAAGCAUGACACUGCCUCUGCCGGCUUGCCUUCUUCCCAUAGUGCAUCCUGGUGUCAUGUGUUCCCCAGAUUUAUCAGCCUCUCAAAAUUCAAGAAAUGAGAGCAAGACACAUAUUACAGCAACUGGGGUAAAUGUUACUGCUUGGGAAGGACAAGUGACUCUCACAGCUUCAAGCCAUGAAUCUAUCACACACACUACACCGUUGACAAGAACUCCAUUUCCAACUACAACAUGGAGCCAUAACUCUCCACUUCCUACAUCAGCUCCAUGUUCCCAGGGCCAUGUGGGCAAUUUCCUGGGUGGGAUGACACUGGGCUUAAUCAUAACACUGGCUGUGUGUCUGGGCUACAGGCUAAUCUGCUCUCACCAGCGGGGACGUUAUCAAGCUCUAGAACAACAUGAUGCCAUCAUAUAACAGUGGAGUGUCUGAUCAAAAACACUGGAGACACUGGGGUGUCUGAUCAAAAAGCUGGUUUGUGAUUGGAAAUGUCCUGCUGUACUGUUAUGCCAUUUAGAGGUGCCUUUUGCUGUUUGAUACUGAUAGUGUUUACAGAAAAUACAGAAACAGUUUAGUGGUUUCUGAAUAGAAAUGUCAUCAAAACAGAGAAGAGCACUCCAUACAGACGACAACAGAACUAUACAGUUGAAGAUUGAAAGAAAAAAAAAACAGAUAAUAUUUAUCUAUCCAGGGUGAGUCUGUGUCCAUUGUGCCCAAACUCUGAUGUGGUCUUCUGCUGUUUCUUGUCCAUCUGCCUCAAGUUUCAUUGUGUUGUACACUAUAUAGGCAAAAGUUUUGGGACACCACUCCAAAUCAUUGAACUCAGGUUUUGAUUUUCAGGGAUUGGGUUCGGCCCCUUAGUUCCAGUGAAAGGAACUCUUGGACAAUUUCAUGCUCCCAACUUUGUGGGAACAGUUUGGGGAUGACCCCUUCCUGUUCCAACAUGACUGCACACCAGUGCACAAAUCAAGGUCCAUGAAGACAUGGAUGAGCGAGUUUGGUGUGGAGGAACUUGACUGGGCUGCAGAGUCCUGACCUUAAUCCAAUAGAACACCUUUGGGAUGAAUUACAGCGGAGAAUCCACUCUCCGGGCCAUCCCUAAAUGGUUCCCACAAAGUUGAGUUCCUUUCACUGGAACGAAGGGGCCAAGCCCAACUCCUGAAAAACAACACCUGAAUUCAAUGAUUUGGAGGGGUGUCCCAAAAUUUUUGGAAUGCUCUGAGACAUUUCUCUGCUCAGUGCAAUUGUAGAGUGCUUAUUUGAGAUACUGUAGCUUUCUGCCAGACCAUGGCUGUUCUUCUCGGACACCUCUCAACAACAAGGCCUUUCCACCAACAAAAACAUAUUACAUGGACAUUAACAACCUGUUCCUGCAAGAUUUUAUUGAAUUGCGUUGCUGCAAGAUGUUUGGUUAAGUAGAUAAUUGCAUAAAAUCUGCAGGUGUAUCUAAUAAAGUGGCCACUGAGUGAAUUUAUGGA